GCAAAACACACAGCAUAAUGAUUUGUGGAAUCUAACCUCAGACAACCUCAAAUUAUCUGAAUCAUGAAUAUAGAAGUCCUGUUUCCAGUUGGUCGUACAGGCACAUUUGGUCUUCAUCAGAGAACUCGUAUGCCCUUUGUCAUCUUAUCGGUGUCGUCGCCUAUAGCACAAUAGAAAAUAGGCUGCACAAAAAGAUUAGAGCUUUUCUGAUCUACUACCUAAUGAAGCAAAGAGCCUUUUUUCUGCCAAGAUUAGAUCCAGCGGACAUUCUCAACAAACAAAGAAACGAACGCCAACGGUAAAGCUGUCCGAUGGUGUCAAUUUCAGCAGCUCUGGUUGGCCUCCACAAUUGCCUGAAUACCUUCCGAUCUCCCAAUCGCUAACGGUGAAGCAAUAGGUCGUACCUUGGUGUUUGCGGAUCUACACCAAAACGGGACAUGCACAACAUGUCAGGCUCGCCGGAUCGCCGGAGUUCUGCUGGAACCCUAGGCGCUACCACCUUCAUGGUUUGCCUCGUUUUGAGUCCAUAAUCACAAUUAACCUUUGGUAUCAACGACGCUCGUCGCUGCUGCAACAGGGGCAGAUUCCCUUCAUUGAACAAAAAGAAACAAUGGCAGAACCAAAAUUGGGGCCAAAAGUUUCAAAGUUAUAUUUUUUACCAACCAACAGAGAAUUGUAUUAAUCACAAAAAUUAUAACCCCAUUAGUAAGCAGGUUAACAACUGGGACCACAAACACAAAUGCAAACAACCAAAACACCCUAAAAAACAGAUACCCAUACAGUUGCAUAUCCCCCCAAUUACAAACCUACACCAAUUUUCAUACAGAAUGCCUCUAAGCUUAGACCUCAUAGAUAUUGACCAAAAUGAUGUCUCAUUUAAACCUUCGAUCACCUUGACCACUGAAGAGGGUGAUCUGAACACCUUCUCGUUUCUAUGCAUCCAAAGGUUCCAAGUUGUGCAAAAAAAAUAGCAUAGAGAACCUCCCUUUUAACACAAGAACCUCCCACAUCUAGGAUGAAUUCCUGAUGUUGUUGUAAUGAUAAAAAAUUGGCAGGAAUCAACAUUUUGACCACAUCAGCUCCUGCAUUUCAGAACAGAUAGCGGGUCAAAAGGGGGAAACCUUUUAGUACCUGUGAAACAGGUUGGGUUGACCUGCUUUGAUGCCGGCAACCACCAUCACCGCCGUCAACUACAUAAACCCUAGUUUCUGCCGCAAUAGUAGUACCACCAACGCCGCCUGAUUGAGCAAAUCUGAAAAUGUAAAAGGAUGAUGGGCUUGGGUAGGAAACCCUAACCAUUAUUGAGUGGCCACAGUGAAAAACCCCCAAAAAGUAGAAGGCAUGCGACGAUCUAGGGUUCAGACGAACGUCAUGCCCCAAAAUCCAUAUGCUUUGCCACAACCGGGAUUCCGAUGAAUGCCAUAGGCACCCUUGGAUCGACGAAUAGUUCCGUUGAUGACGAUGGCGACGAAGACUUUCUGUUGCUCUCU
RNAcentral lists this long non-coding RNA (1490 nucleotides) under Helianthus annuus (common sunflower). Its description in RNAcentral is "sRNA HanXRQr2_Chr09g0367571". The record is from RNAcentral. Lineage: Eukaryota; Viridiplantae; Streptophyta; Magnoliopsida; Asterales; Asteraceae.